This 76-nucleotide transfer RNA is filed under the name Mesorhizobium kowhaii. RNAcentral's name for it is "tRNA-Arg". The stretch from base 12 to 73 matches the Rfam family "tRNA". From Rfam's summary of the family: Transfer RNA (tRNA) molecules are approximately 80 nucleotides in length. Their secondary structure includes four short double-helical elements and three loops (D, anti-codon, and T loops). The record is from RNAcentral. Lineage: Bacteria; Pseudomonadati; Pseudomonadota; Alphaproteobacteria; Hyphomicrobiales; Phyllobacteriaceae.
CUGCUCGCCAGGUAACCGACAGAGCGUUGCCCUCCGAAGGCAGAGGUCACAGGUUCGAAUCCUGUCGGGUACGCCA